UACGUAGGGCGCAAGCGUUGUCCGGAAUUAUUGGGCGUAAAGAGCUCGUAGGCGGCCUGUUGCGUCCGCUGUGAAAUCCCGGGGCUCAACCCCGGGCCUGCAGUGGAUACGGGCUGGCUAGAGGCAGGCAGGGGAGAACGGAAUUCCUGGUGUAGCGGUGAAAUGCGCAGAUAUCAGGAGGAACACCGGUGGCGAAGGCGGGUCUCUGGGCCAAUACUGACGCUGAGGAGCGAAAGCGUGGGGAGCGAACAGG
This 253-nucleotide ribosomal RNA is filed under the name uncultured bacterium. RNAcentral describes it as "partial 16S ribosomal RNA". It matches the Rfam family "Bacterial small subunit ribosomal RNA", at positions 524 to 776 of the family's 1533-position model. The record is from RNAcentral.